Daphnia magna is the source of this 1033-nucleotide long non-coding RNA. RefSeq lists it as uncharacterized. The record is from RefSeq and is a predicted model, not a curated record. The transcript has 2 exons. NCBI's taxonomy places the organism in Eukaryota, Metazoa, Arthropoda, Branchiopoda, Diplostraca, Daphniidae.
UAACAGGCCGUCUCCAAGUUGCGCGCCAAGGGCCGUGGUGGAUCCGCAUCCCGACUCUCCCCACCCCCCCAGAUGAAGCCCCGCUCAAAGCGAGACUUUGAAUAAGGUCCAUCCACUCCAGCCACUUCCUCCACCCGCGCAACUGGCAACAAGGUGUUCAAGAAAACAGCAACGUGUGUGUCGGAUAUAGUAAAUAAUAAUCACUGCUGGUUAUUCAAUUAAUUUUCAAAUGGACAUUUCAACCCCUCCUAAACAAAAAAGUUCCUUCUUCUUCUUCUGAAUUUGUUUCCCUUUCCUUCUCUUUUUCGCUGUCAUAUCAAGUCUCUUCCUACCUUCACCCCUAUUCCUCCUCAGUGUGUGCGAGUGUGUUUUCUAGUCCGAUUCUUGGUUUCAUCCUCAACUUCAAUGGACAACUCGAUUUCACUUUUAUCUCCUUCUCGUUCACGAAACUCGAUCCAGGCGGAUUUUUUUUUUCUGUGUUCCAAUCUCACAUCUGAAAGUUUAAACCCUACAUUUUCUUUUGUGUUCUAUAAGCGGCGGGGCACUUUUCACUAACGAGUUUUCUUUUUUCAAAGACGAGAGCGAGAGAGACAAAGUGAAAAAGAAUGGCUGUUGACGUGAGUGUUGAACCAUUGAAUCGAAAAAGCAUCCGUAUAAUAAUUGAAAAAAAAAAAAAAACCAAAACCAAAAAAUGUCAUAGCUAUAUCAAAGAGUUUGGCGCACGCACUUAAAUAUGAGAGAGUAUUGAGACACAAUGAAACCAAACAAAAAAAUUGAUCAUCGCGCGCAAUCAAAGAGUCGGUUAAUCAAGUUCCUCUUUCCCUUUUCCCUUCUUUCUUUGGUCUGUUGCAGGCCUCGUUUUGUUUUAUUAUAUCAAUCGUCGACCCAGAUAUUGACGAUGUUUAGGCAAUCAAGAAACAAAAAAGAAAAGAUCCUCUUUCUCGCUUCUUGAGUCAUUCUCUACACACUUACUGUAUCCCUUCUGAUUGUUGCUUGACCUUUUGUUGUAUUACACAGCUUUCAGCCCUUUCAA